Molecule: ribosomal RNA, 1315 nt
Filed under: Citrobacter freundii
Lineage: Bacteria; Pseudomonadati; Pseudomonadota; Gammaproteobacteria; Enterobacterales; Enterobacteriaceae
Also listed under: 2 other names
Description: partial 23S ribosomal RNA
Rfam family: Bacterial large subunit ribosomal RNA
Source: RNAcentral
UUAACGCUGAGGUGUGAUGACGAGGCACUACGGUGCUGAAGUAACAAAUGCCCUGCUUCCAGGAAAAGCCUCUAAGCAUCAGGUAACACGAAAUCGUACCCCAAACCGACACAGGUGGUCAGGUAGAGAAUACCAAGGCGCUUGAGAGAACUCGGGUGAAGGAACUAGGCAAAAUGGUGCCGUAACUUCGGGAGAAGGCACGCUGAUAUGUAGGUGAAGUGGUUUACCCAUGGAGCUGAAAUCAGUCGAAGAUACCAGCUGGCUGCAACUGUUUAUUAAAAACACAGCACUGUGCAAACACGAAAGUGGACGUAUACGGUGUGACGCCUGCCCGGUGCCGGAAGGUUAAUUGAUGGGGUUAUCCGUAAGGAGAAGCUCUUGAUCGAAGCCCCGGUAAACGGCGGCCGUAACUAUAACGGUCCUAAGGUAGCGAAAUUCCUUGUCGGGUAAGUUCCGACCUGCACGAAUGGCGUAAUGAUGGCCAGGCUGUCUCCACCCGAGACUCAGUGAAAUUGAACUCGCUGUGAAGAUGCAGUGUACCCGCGGCAAGACGGAAAGACCCCGUGAACCUUUACUAUAGCUUGACACUGAACACUGGUCCUUGAUGUGUAGGAUAGGUGGGAGGCUUUGAAGUGUGGACGCCAGUCUGCAUGGAGCCAUCCUUGAAAUACCACCCUUUAAUGGCUGGUGUUCUAACGUAGACCCGUAAUCCGGGUUGCGGACAGUGUCUGGUGGGUAGUUUGACUGGGGCGGUCUCCUCCUAAAGAGUAACGGAGGAGCACGAAGGUUAGCUAAUCCUGGUCGGACAUCAGGAGGUUAGUGCAAAGGCAUAAGCUAGCUUGACUGCGAGAGUGACGGCUCGAGCAGGUGCGAAAGCAGGUCUUAGUGAUCCGGUGGUUCUGAAUGGAAGGGCCAUCGCUCAACGGAUAAAAGGUACUCCGGGGAUAACAGGCUGAUACCGCCCAAGAGUUCAUAUCGACGGCGGUGUUUGGCACCUCGAUGUCGGCUCAUCACAUCCUGGGGCUGAAGUAGGUCCCAAGGGUAUGGCUGUUCGCCAUUUAAAGUGGUACGCGAGCUGGGUUUAGAACGUCGUGAGACAGUUCGGUCCCUAUCUGCCGUGGGCGCUGGAGAAUUGAGGGGGGCUGCUCCUAGUACGAGAGGACCGGAGUGGACGCAUCACUGGUGUUCGGGUUGUCAUGCCAAUGGCAUUGCCCGGUAGCUAAAUGCGGAAGAGAUAAGUGCUGAAAGCAUCUAAGCACGAAACUUGCCCCGAGAUGAGUUCUCCCUGACCCUUUAAGGGUCCUGAAGGAACGUU